GACGAACGCUGGCGGCGUGCUUAACACAUGCCAGUCGAACGGAAAGGCCCUGCUUUUGUGGGGUGCUCGAGUGGCUAACGGGUGAGUAACACGUGAGUAACCUGCCCUUGACUUUGGGAUAACUUCAGGAAACUGGGGCUAAUACCGGAUAGGAGCUCCUGCUGCAUGGUGGGGGUUGGAAAGUUUCGGCGGUUGGGGAUGGACUCGCGGCUUAUCAGCUUGUUGGUGGGGUAGUGGCUUACCAAGGCUUUGACGGGUAGCCGGCCUGAGAGGGUGACCGGCCACAUUGGGACUGAGAUACGGCCCAGACUCCUACGGGAGGCAGCAGUGGGGAAUAUUGCACAAUAGGCGGAAGCCUGAUGCAGCAACGCCGCGUGCGGGAUGACGGCCUUCGGGUUGUAAACCGCUUUCGCCUGUGACGAAGCGUGAGUGACGGUAAUGGGUAAAGAAGCACCGGCUAACUACGUG
RNAcentral lists this ribosomal RNA (468 nucleotides) under uncultured bacterium. RNAcentral describes it as "partial 16S ribosomal RNA". It matches the Rfam family "Bacterial small subunit ribosomal RNA", at positions 28 to 507 of the family's 1533-position model. The record is from RNAcentral.